RNAcentral lists this ribosomal RNA (481 nucleotides) under uncultured bacterium. Its description in RNAcentral is "partial 16S ribosomal RNA". It matches the Rfam family "Bacterial small subunit ribosomal RNA", at positions 28 to 507 of the family's 1533-position model. The record is from RNAcentral.
GAUGAACGCUGGCGGCGUGCUUAACACAUGCAAGUCGAACGAAGCAUUUAAGACAGAUUACUUCGGUUUGAAGUCUUUUAUGACUGAGUGGCGGACGGGUGAGUAACGCGUGGGUAACCUGCCUCAUACAGGGGGAUAGCAGCUGGAAACGGCUGGUAAUACCGCAUAAGCGCACAGUACCACAUGGUACAGUGUGAAAAACUCCGGUGGUAUGAGAUGGACCCGCGUCUGAUUAGCUAGUUGGCGGGGUAACGGCCCACCAAGGCGACGAUCAGUAGCCGACCUGAGAGGGUGACCGGCCACAUUGGGACUGAGACACGGCCCAGACUCCUACGGGAGGCAGCAGUGGGGAAUAUUGCACAAUGGUGGAAACUCUGAUGCAGCGACGCCGCGUGAGUGAAGAAGUAGUUCGCUAUGUAAAGCUCUAUCAGCAGGGAAGAUAGUGACGGUACCUGACUAAGAAGCUCCGGCUAAAUACGUG